This 65-nucleotide transfer RNA is filed under the name Vertigo pusilla. RNAcentral's name for it is "tRNA-Cys". The record is from RNAcentral. Lineage: Eukaryota; Metazoa; Mollusca; Gastropoda; Stylommatophora; Vertiginidae.
AAGGUAAUAGUUUAUAUAAAAAUAUAUAAUUUGCAAAAUUAUAGAUGAACAAAGUUCUUACCUUU